UGAGGUGUGGCUCAGAGGUAGAACACUCGCCUAGCAUGUGAGGCCCUGGGUUCGAACCUUAGCACCACAU
This 70-nucleotide transfer RNA is filed under the name Urocitellus parryii (Arctic ground squirrel). RNAcentral's name for it is "Spermophilus parryii (Arctic ground squirrel) tRNA". It matches the Rfam family "tRNA". From Rfam's summary of the family: Transfer RNA (tRNA) molecules are approximately 80 nucleotides in length. Their secondary structure includes four short double-helical elements and three loops (D, anti-codon, and T loops). Lineage: Eukaryota; Metazoa; Chordata; Mammalia; Rodentia; Sciuridae. RNAcentral also lists the same sequence under 1 other name. The record is from Rfam by way of RNAcentral.